GUGGGAGCCUCCAGCCGUUUUCCCCCUAGUCACUGGAAGUGAGAAAGAAGAGAUGGAGGGAGGCUUCAGGUGUGCUCAACAGAAGACUCUGGACAACUUCUUCAUUCUUAGGGUUCCAGAAUGAAAGUGCUAGACCGCUGAUUGGAUAAGAGAACUAGAAGAAGUUGCACACUGAACUUAUUGGAGUCUAGAUAGAAAGAUGAACGCGGCUAAAACAUGAAUGUCAACAAUCACACGAAGUGCUGAGAACAAACAGUAUUUCUAGGAUUUAUGAACUGUCUAAUUUUCAUUUUGACAUGCGUCAUUUUGAAAUUUGGGUGGUAUGGAGAGAGGUGGUUAUGGUGCCGAUGAAGAAUAUACAUUUGUGUAUGUACUUGAGAAAAAAAUUGGAGACAAUGGAAAGAACUAUACAUAGUCCUCAAGGAUAGCUGAAAUGAGUGACGGAAAGAGAAGGCCUAUGUUCUAUGACAGGACUCUGAGCUCCCAAAUCUGGCCCAGUGAGAAGCCAAAGUGUUCCAUUAUUUGCAUUGAAGAGGCUAUUGUGUUGUAAAUCCAUCAAGUGAACCCCAGAGCC
Molecule: non-coding RNA, 574 nt
Organism: Peromyscus maniculatus bairdii (prairie deer mouse)
Lineage: Eukaryota; Metazoa; Chordata; Mammalia; Rodentia; Cricetidae
Source: RefSeq, a predicted model, not a curated record